RNA transcript from Rhopalosiphum padi (bird cherry-oat aphid), 5053 nucleotides. It is a transcript of the gene named anoctamin-1, with no coding region annotated. The record is from RefSeq and is a predicted model, not a curated record. The transcript is spliced from 17 exons. NCBI's taxonomy places the organism in Eukaryota, Metazoa, Arthropoda, Insecta, Hemiptera, Aphididae.
UAGUUGUUACAUACAAAUUAAAAGCUAAAAAGCAUUACGUUUCAAUUUCAACUACUUUUUUUGCACUUUAACAAUCAAAUGUGAUAAUAAUAUAAUAUAAUUAUUAUUUUUAAUAGUUAAUUUGAUAUUAAAAAAACAAAUAGGUAGUGCGAGUGCCUACUGCUUUUACUUUUUUUAUAUAUGUUAAUUAUUUUUAUACCAAUUUAUUGUUUUAAACUUAGUUUUGUUUAUUGUAUAACUCAGUUACUCAAACACAUAAUGUCAAAACUAAUUAAUUUUGGUUUUUAGUUUCAGAUAAUUAGUACAAUCUGUUAGGAGUUGAUAAUCUUCCAUCACACGUUUUCAAUAAUGAGUGAUUCUGAGGCUGAGACUGCCUCAAUGGAGACUACCAGGAUGUAUAAAGAUGACCUAGAAUUAUCUCGUAUGUCUUUGUAUCUUAGCUCUCAAGAUCUGAUAAACAAUUCUCCAGAAGCUGCUCGACACAUAAGGCCGGAAAGCAUAACUUUUGAUUCGACACCGGGUGAUAUAUCUGUGGAUUUUGUACUUGUUUCAUCAUCCAAAGCCAAAGCACCAGUAGACAUAGAUGGUUGGAACCGUAGAUCUGCUUUUGAGGAAAGAAUUAAAGAACAAGGAUUACUUCUUGAAGAAGAUGUUGUUGGUGGGUUGACAUUUGUCAAAGUGCAUGCACCUAUUCCAGUGUUACGUAGAUAUUGUGAAAUAUUAAAACUGCGAAUGCCCAUGAAAGAGUAUCCAAUAACUGAACAUAUUCCUGAAAAAGGUUUUGAUCUAAUAGAGAAGAUAAAGAAAUGUAUUGGCCGUAUUAUAAGAGUUUUUAUUACUAUUGAUCCAGGACCAUUUGCGCCAACUAAGUACAUUCUGACAGCAGAGUAUUCACGGGAAAAAAGUUACUUGUUUAAUGAGGAUGAUCCAGAAUUUUUUUCUGCCGAAGUUCGCACAUUAGUUAUAGAUUUCAUCUUAAACAGAGUUAGCUGGGGAAAAGAUCAAGCAGAUGGUAAUUGUGUCGGAAUUCAGUGUCUUUUAGAUGGAGGUGUUUAUAGAGCUGCUUAUCCUUUACAUGAUGGAGAACAUACUACUGAAAAUUCAUUACGCCACCAGCUAUAUGUUGAAUGGGCUAUGAUGAGUAAAUGGAUCCGUAAACAGCCCAUUGAUCAGAUUAAAGAGUAUCUGGGUGUGAAGUAUGCAUUUUACUUCACAUGGUUAGGAUUCUACACACACCUGUUAAUUCCAGCUGCUAUUUUGGGUUUAAUUGUAUUUUUCUAUGGUAUCUUCACUUUUCCUAAUAAUAGAUUUAGUUCUGAUAUUUGUAAUGCAACAGACACAAUAAUGUGCCCAUUAUGUGACCGUACAUGUGAUUAUUGGGAACUUUCAAAUACCUGUUUUUACGCAAGGUUAACAUAUUUAUUUGACAAUGAUCUGACUGUGAUAUUUGCCUUCCUAAUGUCUAUUUGGGCUACUCUAUUUCUUGAACUAUGGAAACGAUAUUCAGCUACUAUUACACAUCGCUGGGGAUUAACAGGAUUCACUUUUGAAGCUGAACAUCCAAGGCCACAAUACUUGGCACGUUUGUCUGGAUCUAAUCAUACUAAAGUGAACAUAAUCACAGGAAAUAUUGAACCAACCGUACCUCUCUGGAAAAAAAUUCCUGCAACAUUAUUUAGCAUUUCCGUUCUUUUACUAUUAAUUGUGGUUGCUAUUGCUGCCGUGUUUGGAGUUGUGCUAUAUCGUAUGUCUGUUUUAGCAUCACUUAGUCUUACAAAUCAAUCUGAUUGGAUGAGUACUUAUAGCAAUAUAUUUAUUCCAACUACAGCAGCUAUCAUUAAUUUGGUUUGCAUUCAACUAUUAAAUUUUGUUUAUGAUAAAGUUGCUAUUUAUUUGACUGAAAUGGAACUACUACGCACACAAACCGAAUUUGAUGAAUCUUUAACAAUAAAAAUUUACUUAUUCCAAUUUGUAAAUUAUUAUACAUCAAUAAUUUAUAUAGCUUUUUUGAAAGGCAAAAAUGUUGGUUAUCCAGCUAAAUAUUUGCGUAUAUUCGGCCUUCGACAAGAAGAAUGUAGUCCAGGAGGGUGUCUCAUGGAAUUAAGCAUCCAAUUGUUCAUUAUAAUGGUUGGGCAACAAGCAUUAAAUACUGUUGUUGAAAUGAUAAUUCCUGUGGGUUUAAAUUGGUUCAAUUCAUUGACUGAGAACACAGGUCGCUUAGAUAAUCUGAAAUCAACAUCUGAAGAGGAAGAUUUGGCUACAGCUGUUAAGAAACCUUGGAUUGAAGAUUACAGACUUUUAGAUUGGGGUCCAAGAGGUCUCUUCCCAGAAUAUUUGGAAAUGGUUAUGCAAUAUGGUUUUGUAACAUUAUUUGUUACUGCAUUUCCACUGGGUCCUUUCUUUGCAUUGUUAAACAAUGUGUUUGAAAUGAGAUUAGAUGCAAAAAAAUUUUUGAAAUAUUUCCGUCGACCAAUUCCUCAUAGAGUGCCUAAUAUUGGUGUCUGGUAUCGGGUAUUGGAUAUUUUGGGAAAGUUAGCGGUUAUCACAAAUGCAUUUAUAAUAGCAUUUUCUUCCAAUUACAUACCUCGUAUGGUGUAUAUAAGCUUAGUGAGUGAAGACAACACAGAUAAGGGUUUCUUAAACAAUACUUUAGCUUACUUUGAUACCAAAGACUUUGAAAAGGGAAUCGCUCCAUUGUCAUCAUCAUAUACUAAUGUUACUUAUUGCCGCUAUAAAGACUAUAGAAAUCCACCAUGGUCCCCACAGAGGUAUGAAAGACCUACAUUUUAUUAUGAAGUGCUCGUUGCACGUCUCACAUUCAUUGUUAUAUUUCAAUCUUUCAGAAUAUUGUAUCAUUAGUGAAAGUAGCAGUUCAAUGGUUGAUACCAGAUGUUCCAAAUGCCCUCAGCGACAGAAUUAAACGAGAGUCUUACCUUACUACUCAAAUGAUAAUUAAGAAUGAGGCGAAAAAAGCAGCAGAAAUUGAACACAUGGGUGGUAUGUUGCACGGCGUCAAUUCACCAAAAAGCUUAUAAGACCAAUACAGCAAUACUUUUAAAAGAUCUUGAAGACUUCUUAUUUAUUGUUAAAUGUUAUGUUUUGUUUAACCGCACUCUGUAUAAAAAUUAAUUUGUUUUACCGAUUACCGACUAUUUAAGUUAGUGAGGCCUAACCUUUUUUUUCAACAAGCUAAAAUAAUAAAAUGUUAAAUAAGUAAAUUGGCUACUUAUAAUAUAAAAAAAAAAUUAGAUUAAUAAAAAAAGGGAAAUUUAAAUAUAAGGAAAUAAUGAUAUUUUUUUUAAAUAUUUUGUUUUAACUUAAUAAUUGGACAUAGGUUGGGCAUCGCUGAUAUAAGUCAUUAUCUUGUGUUCAUGGUUUUUAGUAUUAAAUAUGAAGAUUUUUGCAAUUUUGCUUGGUAAUUAUUAACAUUUUUCAUGCACAAAUCCACAAACAUGCUUGUUAAAUAAUUAUUAAACUUUUAUCAUUUAUAUUGAUAUAAUAUAUAGAAAUAUUGCUAAUUAUAAUGACCAAAGAUCCUCAUUACGAAUAGAGCUACUUGUUUGUUAUCCCUCUGUAUACAAUUAUCACCCUGAAACCAGGUAAUCUUUCGCCUAGAGUACUAUAGGUUCUUUAGGAACCAAAGAAACCGAUAGUUAUCAGUUCUUGUACAAAUUUUUUUAGGUAUUGGGUAAAUGAUAUUUCAAUAAAGUAUCGUAUGUCACAAACUUUAUAUUGUUAUUACUUGUUAUUAUUAUUUAAUAUUUAUUAAUUAUUUCUAAAUUUUUAAUGAACUGAAUACUGUAGUAAAAUAAUGUUAUACAUUUAAAUAUUAAUUAUUUUGGUUUAAUUAAUAACAAUUUAAAUUCUUUAUAAAUUAUAGUAUUAUACAGUACACGGUGAUUCUUUUAUCAUGAACCACUCAUUAUUUCAAAAAGUAUUCAUGUUUUUGAAAACAUUUUUUUACAUAGUUUCAAGUUGUUAAAAAAACUAUGUUUUUAUUAAUAAAUUAUAUUUUAAAUAUUUUUUAUCCUUAUAUUUUUUUAAGUUUUUUACUUUUUUGAAUGACAACAGAGUUUAAAUUUCAUAUUCCACAGCAGAAUAAUUUUCUGAGUAUUUUGAUACAUAAAACUCGAAUUUAGGGCUUUAAAUUUAGUAGUUUAUGAAUUAUACGUAUUUAAAGUUUAGACAAGCGGAGUAGUGGACAAACAUUUUGCAGGGUAACCCCGUAACCACUCCACUCUGCUAGUCUAAACUUUAAAUACAUAUAACUCAUAAACUACUAAAUUUAAAGCCCUAAAUUCGAGUUUUAUGUAUCAAAAUACUCAGAAAAUUAUUCUGCUGUGGAAUAUGAAAUUUAAACUCUAUGUUGUCAUUCAAAAAAGUAAAAAACUUAAAAAAAUAUAAUUUUUUAAUAAAAUCGUAGUCUUUUUAACAAUUUGAAACUAUGUAAAAAAAUGUUUUAAUUAAUAUUCUUAAUUUUAAGAUUUUUUUUUUAAAACCAAUAUUGAAAACUGAUGGGGAAUAUUUUGUAACCGGACAAGAAUCGGAACCGAUAAUUUUCUAAGAACCGGCUCAUCUCUAAUUAGAACAAUUUAAAUGUACGAUAUCUAUAAAGAUUUCUAGAAAACUCUCUUAUUUUUUACAUGUUACUUUGAAAUAUUAGUUGUUAACUAUGCUACUAUUAACUAUAAAUAAUUUAUUAUAAUCAUUAUAAGCCAUUAUUUGAAAAUUUUGUAACACUACAAAAAAAAAUAUCAUAGUAUAACGUACGAUCCUACCUAAGAACUAACCGGGGCGAUAACAAACAAGUACCAAAAUAGAUAAGUAUAUUUGUUAUUUAUAUUAUUUUAAAUAUUUUUAUAUAUUGUAUAAGGAAUUUCAGGGAUAUAUUUUUUAUACGCUUAGUGUUAUUGAUAAUUAAUUACAAAAAUUACCUCAGUUAAACAUGGUGGAUGUAUUUUAUUAUUGAAUCGAUCAUAAUUAUAUGGGAAAUAACUAGGUAUGGACAACAAAAAAUUAUUGGUAGUAUAAUAUAUGAUUCUUUAUUUAUUUA